UAAAUUGAGAGUUUGAUCCUGGCUCAGGACGAACGCUGGCGGCGUGCCUAACACAUGCAAGUCGAGCGAUGACGUGCUUACUUUGUAAGCAAGGAUUAGCGGCGGACGGGUGAGUAACACGUGGGUAACCUGCCUCAUAGAGGGGAAUAGCCUCCCGAAAGGGAGAUUAAUACCGCAUAAAGUAUGAAGGUCGCAUGACUUUUAUACCAAAGGAGUAAUCCGCUAUGAGAUGGACCCGCGGCGCAUUAGCUAGUUGGUGAGGUAAGGGCUCACCAAGGCAACGAUGCGUAGCCGACCUGAGAGGGUGAUCGGCCACAUUGGAACUGAGACACGGUCCAGACUCCUACGGGAGGCAGCAGUGGGGAAUAUUGCGCAAUGGGGGAAACCCUGACGCAGCAACGCCGCGUGAAUGAAGAAGGCCUUAGGGUUGUAAAGUUCUGUCAUAUGGGAAGAUAAUGACGGUACCAUAUGAGGAAGCCACGGCUAACUACGUGCCAGCAGCCGCGGUAAUACGUAGGUGGCAAGCGUUGUCCGGAUUUACUGGGCGUAAAGGAUGCGUAGGCGGACAUUUAAGUCAGAUGUGAAAUACCCGGGCUCAACUUGGGUGCUGCAUUUGAAACUGGGUGUCUAGAGU
Molecule: non-coding RNA, 634 nt
Filed under: Clostridium argentinense CDC 2741
Lineage: Bacteria; Bacillati; Bacillota; Clostridia; Eubacteriales; Clostridiaceae
Description: Bacterial small subunit ribosomal RNA
Rfam family: Bacterial small subunit ribosomal RNA
Source: Rfam by way of RNAcentral